Molecule: non-coding RNA, 54 nt
Filed under: Bacillus methanolicus MGA3
Lineage: Bacteria; Bacillati; Bacillota; Bacilli; Caryophanales; Bacillaceae
Source: RNAcentral
GCAAUAUAAAAUGCUUCUUUUACGAUCCGAGGAAUGUCUUCAAUGUUGCGAACC